This 447-nucleotide ribosomal RNA is filed under the name uncultured bacterium. RNAcentral describes it as "bacterial SSU rRNA". It matches the Rfam family "Bacterial small subunit ribosomal RNA", at positions 355 to 825 of the family's 1533-position model. The record is from RNAcentral.
UGGGGAAUAUUGGACAAUGGGCGAAAGCCUGAUCCAGCCAUGCCGCGUGAGUGACGAAGGCCUUAGGGUUGUAAAGCUCUUUUGGCGGGGAAGAUAAUGACGGUACCCGCAGAAUAAGCUCCGGCUAACUUCGUGCCAGCAGCCGCGGUAAUACGAAGGGAGCUAGCGUUGUUCGGAAUCACUGGGCGUAAAGCGCACGUAGGCGGAUUUGUCAGUCAGGGGUGAAAUCCCGGGGCUCAACCUCGGAACUGCCUUUGAUACAGCAAGUCUUGAGUUCGAGAGAGGUGGGUGGAAUUCCUAGUGUAGAGGUGAAAUUCGUAGAUAUUAGGAAGAACACCAGUGGCGAAGGCGACCACCUGGACUGAUACUGACACUGAGGUGCGAAAGCGUGGGGAGCAAACAGGAUUAGAUACCCAAGUAGUCCCUGAGCGGGCUGGCAAGGCGCAU